GUGGGGAAUCUUGCGCAAUGGGCGAAAGCCUGACGCAGCCAUGCCGCGUGAAUGAUGAAGGUCUUAGGAUUGUAAAAUCCUUUCACCGGUGAAGAUAAUGACUGUAGCCGGAGAAGAAGCCCCGGCUAACUUCGUGCCAGCAGCCGCGGUAAUACGAAGGGGGCUAGCGUUGCUCGGAUUUACUGGGCGUAAAGGGCGCGUAGGCGGACAGUUUAGUCAGAGGUGAAAGCCCAGGGCUCAACCUUGGAAUUGCCUUUGAUACUGGCUGUCUUGAGUACGGGAGAGGUGAGUGGAACUCCGAGUGUAGAGGUGAAAUUCGUAGAUAUUCGGAAGAACACCAGUGGCGAAGGCGACUCACUGGCCCGUUACUGACGCUGUGGCGCGAAAGCGUGGGGAGCAAACAGGAUUAGAAACCCUUGUAGUCC
RNAcentral lists this ribosomal RNA (425 nucleotides) under uncultured bacterium. Its description in RNAcentral is "partial 16S ribosomal RNA". It matches the Rfam family "Bacterial small subunit ribosomal RNA", at positions 354 to 796 of the family's 1533-position model. The record is from RNAcentral.